This 440-nucleotide ribosomal RNA is filed under the name uncultured bacterium. RNAcentral describes it as "partial 16S ribosomal RNA". It matches the Rfam family "Bacterial small subunit ribosomal RNA", at positions 338 to 795 of the family's 1533-position model. The record is from RNAcentral.
CCUACAGGAGGCAGCAGUGGGGAAUAUUGCACAAUGGGGGAAAGCCUGAUGCAGCAACGCCGCGUGAGUGAAGAAGUACUUCGGUAUGUAAAGCUCUAUUAGCAGGGAAGAAAAUGAUGGUACUUGACUAAGAAGCCCCUGCCAACGACGUGCCAGCAGCCGCGGUAAUACGUAGGGGCCAAGCGGUAUCCGGAGUUACUGGGGGUAAAGGGAUCGGAGACGGACAGACAAGUCGGAAGUGAAAGCCCAGGGCUCAAUCCUGGGACUGCAUUUGAGACUGCCGGGCUGGAGUGCAGAGGAGGUAAGCGGAAUUCCUGGUGUAGCGGUGAAAUGCGUAGAUAUAAGGAGGAACACCAGUGGCGAAGGCGGCUUACUGGACUGUAACUGACGUUGAGGCGCGAAAGCGUGGGGAUCAAACAGGAUUAGAUACCCUAGUAGUC